UUACCCUGGAGAACCGAGCGUGUG
Molecule: microRNA, 24 nt
Filed under: Biomphalaria glabrata
Lineage: Eukaryota; Metazoa; Mollusca; Gastropoda; Planorbidae
Also listed under: 1 other name
Description: piRNA piR-bgl-119523
Source: RNAcentral